Molecule: long non-coding RNA, 881 nt
Filed under: Phoenix dactylifera (date palm)
Lineage: Eukaryota; Viridiplantae; Streptophyta; Magnoliopsida; Arecales; Arecaceae
Description: long non-coding RNA (PDAC_LNC017368)
Source: RNAcentral
CCUCAAACUAACAAAUUAUCAUAGACAGAAUGUAGCUAAUAGAAUGUUUAGAGGUGUCCUCUGGAAAAGAAUAAAAUGAUUUUUGAAUCUUCCUACCUCAAUGAUUAUUUUGAAAUGGGACAUGAUCAAUUGCAGGACCAGUUUGAUCCAAGAUCCUUCUGCAAUAAGCCGCUGUUACCUCAACUCCUUUUCUCAGCUUUGCCAUGCUUAAUUUUAGCUACUAGUGUGUGAUUGUAUCUGGUCUCUGCCUAUCUUCAGCUUCAAUCCUUCCCAAAUUUUUCUAGGCCUGUUCAUCAUCCUUCAAAGACAUCAACCAGAGUUGGUACAUUUCUUGACAUACUUGUGACCCAUCAGAGUCAGCUAAGAGGUAGUUUUCUUUUGUGAUUCUAUAGUACAAAACAGAAUUUUUGUGUUGCCUCCAACUGUGGCAAUAGCUAGCAAUGAUGUUUAUCACUCGAAAAUAUCGCGGGCAGGGAAACUCCACACAGCGAAGCAUAAGUAAAUUUAAGAAAGAAUCCAUGGAGAUCAGAUUGCAUGGUUCAGUCCCCAAGAGUUCUUAAAAGAAACUUCAGCUUAAUCCAGCUCCCUCAGGCUACAGUGAGCUGCUGCAAUUUAAGCCUGGAUGUAAUCACCAAACUGAAGGUAACUCCACAAAUAUUUGUAUCUUUUCAAGGUUCUUUGUGCAUUUUGAGUUCUUGAUAGCUAGACAAAGUCUUUCAUCCAGUGGCUUUUAAGCUCAAGCUUGUGUAAAAUGUCACUGGCACUGCUCGAGACUGCAUCUCUGACCAAGCACUCCUAGGGUAGCUAUUAAGAAAUUCCAUAAGCACGGUUAUAGCAAUGUUUGCACAGCCCAUUCUCUCACCAUGAUAUUAUGAAUGCCA